ACGGGUGAGUAACACGUGAGUAACCUGCCCCUGACUCUGGGAUAAGCGUUGGAAACGACGUCUAAUACUGGAUAUGAUCACUGGCCGCAUGGUCUGGUGGUGGAAAGAUUUUUUGGUUGGGGAUGGACUCGCGGCCUAUCAGCUUGUUGGUGAGGUAAUGGCUCACCAAGGCGACGACGGGUAGCCGGCCUGAGAGGGUGACCGGCCACACUGGGACUGAGACACGGCCCAGACUCCUACGGGAGGCAGCAGUGGGGAAUAUUGCACAAUGGGCGAAAGCCUGAUGCAGCAACGCCGCGUGAGGGAUGACGGCCUUCGGGUUGUAAACCUCUUUUAGUAGGGAAGAAGCGAAAGUGACGGUACCUGCAGAAAAAGCACCGGCUAACUACGUG
Molecule: ribosomal RNA, 392 nt
Filed under: Curtobacterium sp. R9.44
Lineage: Bacteria; Bacillati; Actinomycetota; Actinomycetes; Micrococcales; Microbacteriaceae
Description: bacterial SSU rRNA
Rfam family: Bacterial small subunit ribosomal RNA
Source: RNAcentral